RNAcentral lists this long non-coding RNA (2074 nucleotides) under Mytilus galloprovincialis (Mediterranean mussel). Lineage: Eukaryota; Metazoa; Mollusca; Bivalvia; Mytilida; Mytilidae. The record is from RNAcentral.
UCUUUCUUAAAAAUGUUAGAAACUCUUUUCAAUUAUUAUGUAAAUCAAAUACUCAUCAGAAAAUGUACAAAAAAAUCCUUUUCAUUAUAUAUUAAGCAAAUCCAAAAGAUACAACUGGAACAUUACUAGAUAGCAUAUAUUUGGUAGACGUUUUAAAUUUUUUCAAAAUGCAACAUUAUAUAUUUCUUCACUUGUUUUCUUGAAAUAUUGUGUAACCAUUGAACCAUUGAAUAAUUAAUAUACCAUUUAUGCAAGCAUAAAAUAUUUAGAAAAAAAGUUAAUUGCAACCUCAAAUCAUGUGAAAGAGACUUGGCAUUUUCUAACAUCAGUAAUUUAAUCAUAAUGAAAUGCUAUUGGUGAAUCUGAAAUUUGUAGAACAAUUAUUUCUAAAAACUUUCAAGUGUCCCUUUGGCACUAAAAAUGCCAUAAACAUUAUGUUUUCAUUUUUCUGGAAGACAGUUAUCAAUAAACUAAACCAAGAUCACUUGAUGUGAGUAUACCUAAGCUAUCUUGAAUGGGUAAGCGUCAAUCCUCUGAGACAGUUUAACAAAUUUUAAUUUCCCAUAUAGUUUAUACACAAAAUUAGGUAAACAUAAAAAAAACAGGAAGGUUGUACUGCGGUAGUGUCAACCAACUGAAAUGGUGUAACAAAUUUUAAUUUCCAAAAUGAGGUAAAAGGAAAAGAAAAAAAGUACAAACUGCAGCUUUAUCUUAGGCUUUUUAUAGCAAUAUGUUCAAUCUAUAAGUAACAGUGAGAUGACCACAUAUGUACAACACUGACCAUAUUAGACAGAUAUCUAGUAGCUGUUAUAUUGUAUAGAUAUCUUAAAUAUUUCUUAUAGCUAGCUGGUUAAAUAUAUGUACACAAGUUUUCUUGUUUAGAAACAGCAAUUUAAUUCUUACUAUAAUAUAACUCUAUUUGUAUUAAGUGAGAUCUACAUUAAAAUGUGAAUGUUAUUUAUUACUACAAAGUUGUGGUUAUACAGAAUUUCAUUAUUAAUUAUAAUUUUCCUGUAAUAUCUGUGACUUGAUGUUACCUAUAUGAUGCUAAACUUUUCAUUUAUGUCAGAAUUGUCCUGAAUACAGCUAUUGAAAUUUGAAGUGUUUUUCAGGAGUAAAGUUUAUUGUUAUUACAAUAUUCUCUUCUGUAAGCUGUGUAUUUUAAUCACCCAUUAAAAUCGUUCACUCUCAGAUGGAAUUACACAAACAAAAUAGUGAUGGCAAUAUCCAUUGCCCAAUGUUUUUCAGUUUACCAAAAAAAAAUUUUUUUAUCAUUACAAAAUCAACCAAAAAAGGGUAUUUUUCUGUAAAUUUAAAUUGAAAUUUUCCUUGAACAUCUCAAAUACUACUGAACAAUGCUAUGAAACUUCUGUAAAAAAGGAAAAUCACAAAAAAACUGAUUUCUGAGGAAAAUUCAAAAAUUAGAAUAAGUCCUGAAAGCAAUGUAUAAAUUGUUCCCAUUAUUCUCCAUUGUAAACAAUUAUGAUCAUUGGUGUAAUCAAAAGUUUAAUAUAACAUAUUUAAAAAAAGACUAUACAAACAUUGUCUUGUUUUGUUAACUAUUCCAUGCAACACUAGGCCACGUUCAGUGUCUUCAAUGUCAUAAUAUGUGUACUAUGUCAUAAUUUGUAGUGUACUAUGUCAUAAUUUGUAGUGUACUAUGUCAUAAUUUGUAGUGUUCUAUGUCAUCAACUGUUACAAUUUAUGUUACAAUCUUACAUUACAUUACAAUGAACAAAUACAUCACAUGGCACAGUUAAUAUGACCAAUGAUGAAAAAUCGGCGGUUUCUUUUCAAUAUACACAUCAAGAAGAAUUAUAAUUAUUAAAAACACCCUUUAAAAUGUUUGCCUGAGUUAAACAAACUUGUUACAUGGUUGAAUGAAGAUGAAGUUCAAGAUGGCAGCUACCAGAAUUGUUUCUAUUGAAAAUGAUAAGCCUGUCAAAUUAGAAGUUGGAGACUUAACUAUCCUAAUAAAUAAAGACUUUCUAAUUCAAUACUUGCUUUUAAAACAAAUUAUUUCUUUAAAUUUUCAUUAAUUAUGUAAACUUUUUAAGAAGAUAAGCACUCAUGA